GACGAACGCUGGCGGCGUGCUUAACACAUGCAAGUCGAACGGAAAGGCCCUGCUUUUGUGGGGUGCUCGAGUGGCGAACGGGUGAGUAACACGUGAGUAACCUGCCCUUGACUUUGGGAUAACUUCAGGAAACUGGGGCUAAUACCGGAUAGGAGCUCCUGCUGCAUGGUGGGGGUUGGAAAGUUUCGGCGGUUGGGGAUGGACUCGCGGCUUAUCAGCUUGUUGGUGGGGUAGUGGCUUACCAAGGCUUUGACGGGUAGCCGGCCUGAGAGGGUGACCGGCCACAUUGGGACUGAGAUACGGCCCAGACUCCUACGGGAGGCAGCAGUGGGGAAUAUUGCACAAUGGGCGGAAGCCUGAUGCAGCAACGCCGCGUGCGGGAUGACGGCCUUCGGGUUGUAAACCGCUUUCGCCUGUGACGAAGCGUGAGUGACGGUAAUGGGUAAAGAAGCACCGGCUAACUACGUGCCAGCAGCCGCGGUGAUACGUAGGGUGCGAGCGUUGUCCGGAUUUAUUGGGCGUAAAGGGCUCGUAGGUGGUUGAUCGCGUCGGAAGUGUAAUCUUGGGGCUUAACCCUGAGCGUGCUUUCGAUACGGGUUGACUUGAGGAAGGUAGGGGAGAAUGGAAUUCCUGGUGGAGCGGUGGAAUGCGCAGAUAUCAGGAGGAACACCAGUGGCGAAGGCGGUUCUCUGGGCCUUUCCUGACGCUGAGGAGCGAAAGCGUGGGGAGCGAACAGGCUUAGAUACCCUGGUAGUCCACGCUGUAAACGGUGGGUACUAGGUGUGGGGUCCAUUCCACGGGUUCCGUGCCGUAGCUAACGCUUUAAGUACCCCGCCUGGGGAGUACGGCCGCAAGGCUAAAACUCAAAGGAAUUGACGGGGCCCCGCACAAGCGGCGGAGCAUGCGGAUUAAUUCGAUGCAACGCGUAGAACCUUACCUGGGUUUGACAUGGAUCGGGAGCGCUCAGAGAUGGGUGUGCCUCUUUUGGGGUCGGUUCACAGGUGGUGCAUGGCUGUCGUCAGCUCGUGUCGUGAGAUGUUGGGUUAAGUCCCGCAACGAGCGCAACCCUUGUUCACUGUUGCCAGCACGUUAUGGUGGGGACUCAGUGGAGACCGACGGGGUCAACUCGGAGGAAGGUGGGGAUGACGUCAAGUCAUCAUGCCCCUUAUGUCCAGGGCUUCACGCAUGCUACAAUGGCUGGUACAGAGAGUGGCGAGCCUGUGAGGGUGAGCGAAUCUCGGAAAGCCGGUCUCAGUUCGGAUUGGGGUCUGCAACUCGACCUCAUGAAGUCGGAGUCGCUAGUAAUCGCAGAUCAGCAACGCUGCGGUGAAUACGUUCCCGGGGCU
RNAcentral lists this ribosomal RNA (1346 nucleotides) under uncultured bacterium. Its description in RNAcentral is "bacterial SSU rRNA". It matches the Rfam family "Bacterial small subunit ribosomal RNA", at positions 28 to 1381 of the family's 1533-position model. The record is from RNAcentral.